GCGAAAAGCACACAGCCAAUCCGCUUCCUAUGAAUAUACUGACUCUGAGUCUGCAUCGACACAUUAGAAGAAGGCAACAUGGAGAAAGGAGAUGAUAAUCAUAUUGACUAUGGGUUUGAAGAUGAUGAAGACUCUGAAGAUGAAAGAAACGAGCCGUCAGCAUCAAUCCAACCUAUUGACUUGAAUGA
Molecule: long non-coding RNA, 188 nt
Organism: Priapulus caudatus
Lineage: Eukaryota; Metazoa; Priapulida; Priapulimorpha; Priapulimorphida; Priapulidae
Exons: 3
Source: RefSeq, a predicted model, not a curated record